RNAcentral lists this ribosomal RNA (497 nucleotides) under uncultured bacterium. Its description in RNAcentral is "partial 16S ribosomal RNA". It matches the Rfam family "Bacterial small subunit ribosomal RNA", at positions 28 to 507 of the family's 1533-position model. The record is from RNAcentral.
GAUGAACGCUGGCGGCGUGCCUAAUACAUGCAAGUCGAGCGAACAGACGAGGAGCUUGCUCCUCUGACGUUAGCGGCGGACGGGUGAGUAACACGUGGAUAACCUACCUAUAAGACUGGGAUAACUUCGGGAAACCGGAGCUAAUACCGGAUAACAUGUUGAACCGCAUGGUUCAACAGUGAAAGACGGUCUUGCUGUCACUUAUAGAUGGAUCCGCGCCGCAUUAGCUAGUUGGUAAGGUAACGGCUUACCAAGGCAACGAGGCGUAGCCGACCUGAGAGGGUGAUAGCCCACCCUGGAGCUUGGACACGGACCAGACUCCUACGGGAGGCAGCAGUAGGGAAUCUUCCGCAAUGGGCGAGAGCCUGACGGAGCAACGCCGCGUGAGUGAAGAAGGUCUUCGGAUCGUAAAACUCUGUUAUUAGUGAAGAACAAAUGUGUAAGUAACUAUGCACGUCUUGACGGUACCUAAUCAGAAAGCCACGGCUAACUACGUG